RNAcentral lists this ribosomal RNA (253 nucleotides) under uncultured bacterium. Its description in RNAcentral is "partial 16S ribosomal RNA". It matches the Rfam family "Bacterial small subunit ribosomal RNA", at positions 524 to 776 of the family's 1533-position model. The record is from RNAcentral.
UACGUAGGAUGCAAGCGUUGUCCGGAAUUAUUGGGCGUAAAGAGUUCGUAGGCGGUUUUCUAAGUUUGGUCUUAAAGACCGGGGCUCAACCCCGGGAAUGGAUCGAAAACUGGGAGACUCGAGGAUGUUAGAGGAAAGUGGAAUUCCAAGUGUAGCGGUGAAAUGCGUAGAUAUUUGGAGGAACACCAGUGGCGAAAGCGACUUUCUGGGACAUUUCUGACGCUGAGGAACGAAAGCUCGGGGAGCAAACAGG